AGCCUCAAGACGGGGCAUCGGCAGCAGAGGGGGCUUCAGCCUGCGGCCCCAGCAUCUGAGUCCCCAGCAUCUGAGUCCCCGGCUGCCCCACGAGUGGGGCUAUGCAGACGGACCCCAGCAGGGCCAGCUGUGGGUGUCCACACUGUUCUUGCUGCUGCUCAGGAACGUCCCUGGAGGAAGUUGGUCCAGUCCAAGGCCGUUCUCUUCAGGGUUUGAUGAACAAUCCUCAGAAGAACGGAGGGGCACCCGAGGUUUGCCUCCUGACUCCACAAGCAAUAUGCCAGCAAGUGUAUUUUUCCUCUUGAGGCUUAGCAUGUCCUUCAGGAAACUGCAGAAAAGAGUGACCUCCUAGUGAAGGUUUCUGCCUGUGAGGGACACGGUCCCUUCCUGGCACACAAAUGCCUGUGCCAGAGCAGAGGAAAAUGCCUGGACUUGAACCAAAGAGGUGUCUCUGCCUGCUGUUAGCAGCGGGCUCCUGGCAGAACGGGGAAGGGCCAAGGGCAAGAACCUGAAUCCUCAUCCUCACCCUGCGGGCCGGCAUUGCCUUUGUCUACCAGCGCCCGUCGGCCACAGCCUUCCGCCGGCUCAUCCGAGCUGCGGUGGCCCCGAGCACGGGCAGGCGGCGUGGCCUUCCCGCGUGACGGCUCCAGGCUCUCCCUUCGCUUUUCUCGUCACCACGCCUGAGCAAAACAGCGCCCCUCCCGGGGCUUCAUCCAGCUGCUGACUUGAGAGGGCACUUGAGCAGCUGCUGCUACGGGGGAGUCAGCCCGCCGGGGUUCAAAUUCCAGCUCCGCCAUUACUUGCUGGUGACCUUGGGAAAGUAACGUGCCCUCUCUGAGACUUGGUCUCCCCCUGUCUGCAGUCGUGAUAACAGUGACAGGGUUGUUAGGAGGAUUGAAUUGUGUCAUCCCUUCGAGAGCAAAGACUGUUUUAUCCACCAGUAUUUAGCCAACGGAAAGCACUAAGUAAAUAUUUAUUGAAUACAUGCAAAAUGCUUCACACGGCGUUUAGACCCUAGAAGGCUGCAGCUCUUCAACAGGCUUGCACUAGAAAAGACAAGAUCUUCUCAAAAAGGCUCAGGUCGACAGGAAAGUUUGGAUUCAAAGAUGCUAUGAACAGAGGAAGGAAAAAGUGGGAGAGCCUGCACUUUCCAAGUGAAGAGCAGCUUGCUUCAGAGAGUAGAGACCUGUGCUAGACCCUGGGGUGCAGAGGUGAAAAGAUGCAUUCUUAAGGACCUUAAAGACUCUAGAGCAGCUGUGCAAAUAGACAACUUGCGAUGCAAGGCAGCCUGAGCCAAGGGCACACAGAGAUGCAGGCAGAGACCCUCCAAAAGGGCGUGAGGCACCUGACGGCUUUGUGGAGGAAGCUUUGUGCCCUUGAAGCAGGGAGAAGCACAGGCAAAGGGCAGCCCUGCAGAGGAGACUCAUCGUGGGCCGGCAGUUUGGUGAUUUGAACAGCGGCAGUCGUUGGAAGGCACACGGUGGACUGAGGAAACAAGCAGACCAGUCCAGCAGGAUGAAAGAAUUCAUAAAUAACAGGCUAGGAGAACUCUUUGGUCUUCUUCCACAAACUGUUUUCUUGGACCAUGUCUACCCCAAGGAAGAAAGCUUUACACCUUAUUCUCUAUGGCUACCAACUGGUCAGAGGUAAUGUUUAUUAUUGGAAACACUGUUAUUUAAUCCUC
Molecule: long non-coding RNA, 1684 nt
Organism: Lemur catta (Ring-tailed lemur)
Lineage: Eukaryota; Metazoa; Chordata; Mammalia; Primates; Lemuridae
Exons: 5
Source: RefSeq, a predicted model, not a curated record